UAAAUUGUGCCGUGACAGUAUCACAGUCUGUGAGGGUCAACCAAGGCAUGAUUAUUACUAGUUGAAAACUUUCCCCCUUCUCCCUUUUCCAAGUAUUGCUCAUUUCAGAUGAUAAUACCAACAAAGAAAUAACCCCUCAAGGG
RNAcentral lists this small nuclear RNA (143 nucleotides) under Crocodylus porosus (Australian saltwater crocodile). RNAcentral's name for it is "U4 spliceosomal RNA (ENSCPRG00005004802.1)". It matches the Rfam family "U4 spliceosomal RNA". Rfam says of the family: U4 small nuclear RNA (U4 snRNA) is a component of the major U2-dependent spliceosome. The record is from RNAcentral. Lineage: Eukaryota; Metazoa; Chordata; Crocodylia; Crocodylidae.